CAGCUCCAAUAGCGUAUAUUAAAAUUGUUGCAGUUAAAAAGCUCGUAGUUGAAUUUCUGCUAAAAAUAACCGGUCUGCUUUUAAUAAAGGUGGUAUCUUGGUGUGUUUUUAGCAAUAAUGUCCUUUGAAAUGUUUUUUACUUCAUUGUAAUAAAUUAUWUUCAGGAUUUUUACUUUGAGAAAAUUAGAGUGUUUCUAGCAGGCUAACGCUUUGAAUACUGCAGCAUGGAAUAAUAAAAUAGGAUUUUGGUUCUACAUUAUUGGUUUUAAGAGCUAAAUUAAUGAUUGAUAGGGACAGUUGGGGGCAUUUGUAUUUAACUGUCAGAGGUGAAAUUCUU
RNAcentral lists this ribosomal RNA (337 nucleotides) under Hepatozoon felis. RNAcentral describes it as "partial small subunit ribosomal RNA". The record is from RNAcentral. Lineage: Eukaryota; Apicomplexa; Hepatozoidae.